UAUUGUGAUUAGAUAAGGUAGCAAAAUAUUACUAAUUUUAUUAUGUCAUUGAUGCCUUUAGCAGUGACGACAUUGCAUAAGACUUCAUGUCAUAAAUUAGAUCAAAUCAAUAGGCAAACAAAGUAUUCAGUCCUAUUUUAUGUAAGAUUGUUUUCCUUUCCCACUCUCGCACUUCACCAUGAAUGUUCAAACAGUUUCAAAAUUUUGACCAAGGUGUUGUGUGUUCUCUUUCACCUGAAGGCAAGAUUAGAAAUUGGAUGCCAUUCUGCCACAGAUUCUCAUUAUAAAAUCAUUAACUUUGAGCAUGAUAUGCUUUUCUUUUUUGCACUAUCUCCUGAGAAAUAAUUAAGAUGAAGUCCCGCCAUGGGAGACUUAUAACCUUGAGGGAUUCUGCUUAUUAUUAAGGCACACAAUUGAAGGCUCAUCGAGAUUUAUCAAGUUUGCUUGUGAGGUACAUCAAUUAUUAGGAAAUAAUAGCUAUGAGUGCUACAAACGGUCUAACGAGCCUCUUCUCUCAAAAAAAACAUGUGCGGGCAAGUCGAUCAAAGUCAGAGCGACUUUUCAUUUCCUGUUCGAAAAUCAUCAUUAAAUUCGUUAAAAACAACCGGCUUCUCAUUCCACUUAUUUUCAGAUGCCCGUCUCUUCGACAACUUUCAUGUGCAACAAAUGGAGGCUAAAAAACAAAUCGAUGCGAAAAAUCUUGGUUUCCAUCUCCAAGCACCACGAAUUUAGGGUCAACUACACCUUUAAUUUCUAAUGGACGCCAAUUUGUGUUUGUUUUCUUUCUCAAUGCCCCAUUACAGGUUUGUCUUCCUUUUCGCUUAAUUUUCAUAGAAAUCCUAAAUAUGUUAUUUCUUUCUUUCUCCUGUUUUGGACUUAGCUUCUGGGUUCGUACCAAAGUUUUCCAUUUUGAUUCCAAUUUGUGAGUGUCUUCUAUGAUUUUUGAUUUCUGGUGAGUUUUGUUCCGAUUUUACCUUUUUGAAUUUGGUUGAGUAUCUAUUUAUGUGAGUUUUCUCUUACUCCAUAUAUAAUCCUUAUGUAAAUUCCUCUGCAUGAGACAUGUUAUGCUGGCUUUCCUUUUCUAGCUUCUGCAUUGGUUUGUUUAUUUGGUAUAGAGACUGAAAAUGAGGUUGUGUUUGCAUUAUGCUUAGAAAUGCACCCAAGCUGUUUGUGAAUAUGCUUAAAACAAUUGAAUUUUAGUUUACUGUGUUUUUCUUAACAAAAAAAAGAAGACGACUUAAUAGUUGCGUUUCUUUUACAAGUUAUAUAAAGUUAAAUAAUUUAGUUCAAUGUAUUAAUGUGAAAUAAAAUAAGUUCCUUUUAUUCAAUCCAAUAGAAAGAGGAACUCACAAGGGAUGGCCAGUGUAACACUGAUAGUUUCCUUCUUUCUUAAUUGCAUGAUUAUAGUUCUUCUUUUAAUCAUAAGACCUUGAUGUUCCAGAGAUUCAUGCAAACUAUAGAGUAAAGAUAUCUAGCUAAUCCAUUUAAGUUUUUUGGGGAAAAAAUGAGUGGAAAAAAAAUGAAUAAGAAAAGAAGCUCUAUAUAAUAAAAUAGAAAUUGCGGACUGAACUUUAGUGCACAGGAGGAGGAUUCAUCAAUAGUUAAACUACCCUGCAGCUUGCUUAAAUGUAAAACAAAAGCAAAUAGGACAAACCUAAAAAAUAUAUUGGUUUUGAUGAAAGUAGUUUGAUAGGUUAUCUCAAAUGACUUCUAGAUUUUUGAUUGUAGAGUUAAGAUCUUAUUACUUGUAAGGGACCCCUUUUCAAAACAUAUCUACAAUAUAUAUAGUAGAUAGAUUUUGAAGACUAAAUUUACAUCUCGUAGACCAGUUGGUAACUACGCUUCAAUCCUCCAACUGAACAAGCUAUUGCACAAUAUAUAUCUUCUAAUUUAGUUUAGACAAUCAUGUAGACUUGUAAUGUGAGAAUCCCUCUUGACCGAUGAAGAGUUUAGCAACCUUUCACAUAUAUUUUUCCAUUUUCUAAUUAUUUCUAUAUAUGGUAUUUUAAGCAUUUCACAUGUAUUUGGCAAUUUUGAGUAUUUCAUUAUACAGCUCUACUUUGAUUUUUUGGUAUGAUAUUUUUUAAAAAAGGAGACAUUUGUAGAUUUUGUUAUGCUUUCCCUCAAUUUACUAUUCUAGGUGACUUUGAGUUGUAUGGGCAAGUUGUCCUAGUGUUUUGACAUUCUAAUUUUUGUUGUCCGUUAAAUGAUUCGUGACUCACUAGCCAUUAAUUUGUUUUGACAUUUUUGUUGCUGAUCAUGGUUCAGAUGUUAAUUUGGAUUCACGUGCAGAUUCAGAUGAUUUUUGUUUUGUGUGAAAAUUAAAAGCUAUCGAUGAUGAAAGGGAUGAGAAAAACAUGAAGCAGAAUGGCGGCCUAAUACUAAAGAAGAGGCCAAUGAGUUUAAUUUGUCAAAAGCCGUGGUUUUCUUAAUGUUGGUUCAAGUUCUUGGCCAACACUCAUACAAGAAAAGAAUUAUAAAUGCUAAAUAUGUAUUUGUAUUUUUAGGAACUUGAAGGAGGAGGACAUAACUCCGAAUCUCUCUAAUCUCCAAAGAAAUAUAAGAGAGUGAGUUCAAUGCAUAUUGAAAAUAAUCCCAAAAGGGAUAUUUUUGCCUAGCCAAAAUAUGUCAGUCAAGACAAUAGGCAGUAACUAUUCAAAGAAGCAGCGUCUACGGCAGCUUGCCACUGCUACUCUUUUAACAGAAAAUGAAGCUAGCUGUCAAAUAGGGAAAUUGGAGGUAACUCUUCCUUUAAUUUUUUUCGCUCACGAUACUUUGGCAGGUUUUGAGUUUUCUUUUCUGUGGCUAAUGACUUUUUCAGAUAUUUUAUUAGUAUCCUAGAGUACGAGCAUAUGGAAUGCAUUUGCUAAAAGUUUUAAGACACUUAUCUAUCUAUAUUAUUAUAAAAGUGGGAAGCCCUUAAUUGAAAAGUUAAAUUACUUUAUUACCCUUCUUUUUUUAAUAACUCAAUUACGUAAUUAUUGAACGAAAAAGAAACUUAAUUACGUACCCUAAUCUACACUUAGAUACGAACCGACGUGCUCAUUCGGAGAAUACGUUACUAUCUAUGACAGGAUACGCUCCUUCCUAAUAGUAUCAUGACAUAAACCGCUCUACUAGGUUUAGAAGGUCGCAUCUGUUGUUUGCUUUCUUCAACCGAUACACUGUACUAUUGCCGCCUUACAGGAGAAAGGGGAAUAAGGGUGCAGCAUAACAAAGACAGCGAUAAUUUUCCAUCGCCAUUUUAAUCUAGCCAUAGCAGUUAUCUCUCCGUGACUACUUAGGCUGUCAGUGCAAAGAGAAAAGAGUUCGAUCUCCUCAGUUAACUUCCAGGUUCUUGAAUUCACUCUUGUUUACAUAGCAGAAAACGUUCAUAUCUAGAGAAACUUCUCAUGAUUCUCAACUAUUUUCUGAUAUGGAUACCUUAUAAAUGGGUUUCUAAAUCUACUUUUACAAUUUGUUAUUGAAUUUAGAUAGGUUCUGUAAAAUGAUUGUAAUUGUUAUUAUAGCUUACAAUUUGGAGAUGACUACAGGAGUAAUAUUUAUUGGUUACUCUAACAUGUAUUGCUUGAAUACGUAAUAUAUUUAAGCAAGCCUGGAUUAGUGUUCAUCCUCCUAUAUAUAAUUUUUAGAGACUGACUGUAGUCAUGACUUAUCUUUUUAUUGAUUCAAUGUUGCAUAAUGUAUGGACAUAUGUCCUAGAGGAGGUUGACAUAAUUCCUUCUCAAUGUUAAAUAUCAGAACUCACGACUCUUAGGUUUGCUUAGUCAUUCAGAAGUUGUGGCAAUAGAAUUGAUCACUGCUCUUUUCGCCUUACUCAUGUUUAUCAUGUGCUUAGGUUCUAUUUUCAUCAUUAUUCUUAUAAGCCACUUGUGGUUCAAUAGACAUGAAUAAUGCUCUGUCCUUGGCAGUGAUUUGAUUAAUAUUCACUUUGGAUUGUUAUUCGUUCUUGCUAUAAAAACCAUAACCCAAGGGUCUCAACACUAAUCGGAAAGAUUUGAUUGAUUCACAAUAGUCUUGAAUCACAAUAGUUGUUGAACGUUCAUACUAUAAUAGGAAAUUUAUGCUUUACUAUAUUUUUCUCUCAAUAGCCUUUGAAAUGUCAAAAGAUAUAUAGUCAAUUGUUUAAAGACUUUAAUGGAAGAGGACUUUCAUCAUCAGUUAAAGUUUAAAGUGGAAUUAGAUCAUUAGAAAUAGUAAUCAAGGCGACUCCAGCGCCAAGCGAGUGAAAUCGUCGCUUUAGGCCACUGAGAAGUUUAGGCCAAAAAAAUUAGAGUUCAUGACUUACAUACUAUUUUGUUCCAUUUUGUUUGACAUUAAUUUUUUUAUUUAUUUUGAAAAGAAUGAUAUAUUUAUGUAUUUUUAAUUUAAUUUUUUAUAGCUACACAAUAUUUUUUAUACUACAAGUUUCAAAAGUUUACCGUCACAAGGAUGUAAUGACAUAUAUAAUAUCACAAGUUUCAAAAAUUUUCAUUCUUUGUUAAACUUUGUGUGAAGUCAAACUAUGAUAAACAAAGUAAAGCAAAAAGAGUAAUUAUUUAGUUGUUAUUAUAAAAGAAAGUUAUUAUUAGUAAUUGUAAAUUAAAGUGAAUGCCUUUGAGGCAUUAGCAAAAAUGAUUUCUCUCGAUGUCACUCUUCAAAUUUUUCUUGAGAUUUUUACUUUAGAAUUUUCAAUUUUUAGGAUUGUUCUGCAUAGGCAUAUAUUAUUUUUUGUUCUUUAUAAGAAUUUAAAUAUUCAACUGAAAAUAUAAAUAUGGUUAUCCAAAACUCAAAAAAAUUAGAAAAAUCAAUUAAUUGCGUCGCAUCUUAAACUAGAGAAUAAGUUUCAAAAUAAUGUAAAGCCUCUUAUAAAAGUUUGGCUUUAGGCCUCAAAAUGUAUUGAGUCGCCCCUGUAAUAUUAGUAAUUUUAGAUUCUGUUGUUUUGGUUUUGUCGGUUCUAGAAGUUAUUUUAAAGUUGUGAUAUGGUAAUUAAGUGUAAAUGGUUUUGCCGGUGGAUCUUUUUCAAUGGACAAAACCAGGUAUUUUUGGUCAUAGUACAUACUGUCUUUCAAGGUUAAAAAAAAUUUGAUUUUUGAUGAGAUAAUUCUUGCAGUUUCUUAAGAUUUUAAUGACGUAGUUUCUGAUGCACAUGUUCGAUCGAAGUACCAUCUUGGUUUAAUGUUUAACAACAAUUACAUGCCAUUUGAUGUGACUAAAUAAUGUUCAUUAUAUGCAUGGAAGGCUGCAGCCGUAUCUCGCCAAAUUAUAUGCCACAACUGUUUGACCUCAAGUAGAAGAUGAGAUCUAUACUAAUUAGACGAGCUUAUUGAGGUACUUAAACUUUUACUCCCAAUGGAAGAAUAGGAGAGAGCAAAAUCAAAUUCUUAAUAAUUAUGUUAAUUGCUUAUUCUAAAUGAUACAUCACAAGUUUGAGCUCAGAAGAAAAGAGUAAUAUCCCUAACUGUUAACUUGAUAGAUAGAUUGGGCUGGUUGCCACGCUACUAGCAUGCAAAUAUGAUGCAAUUUCUCUUCCAAUAGUGGAUGAUAUGGUGUUCAUUUUGGAUAAAGCAUACACAAGGAAGAAGAUUCUUUGAAAUGUUAGCUAACAAUUUUCUAUCGAUGUCAACUAACACUAUAUUUUCGUCUACCUUCAAACUAUUAGUAAAGAUCACAUUCCUGUAGGAAAUAAUGAUAUUCAACACUCUUCAGUUUAAUAUAUCAGUUCCAACUGCAUAUAUUUUUGUAAGAAGAAUUCUCAAGGUUGCUCAAGCGGAUAAAAGGUUAGUGUAACUCUUGGAUUUUGAGAUUCUUGGCCUUUUUGCAGUAUAGAACGUGUUGCUUUCUUUGACUUUGUACUCCUUUAACAGCUUGUGCUACUUUCGUUCUUCUUGAUUGCGCUUUGCCUGAUGGAAUGUGACAUGCUUAAAUUGCCACCAUACUUUAUCGCUACUGCUGUAAUCUUAUGCACACUUUGUGGUGUUAGACAAUGGAAUAAAACUUGCAAGUUGCACGCAAUCUCAAAGAUCAACUUUUGGAAUGUUCAAGAUUAGUAGCGAACUUCCACCAAAAGACAACAAACAAAAAAACUAACAGGGAUUUGGAAGGUGAAGAGGUUGAAGUGAAGUGAUAAUGUUGAAGCAAUUCUAACUACUUCUGGUGUCGAUGCCAUACGUGACCAAAUUAGAAACAGAGACAUAGACAUCUCACUCACUGCUCACUUACUAUACCUGAUAAGACAAAGAAGACUCGGAAGGGUCGAAAGGAAACAAAAAUCAAUGUUGUGGAAGAAAAGCUGGACGCUUUGAAGAAGAGUUCAUGGUGUAUUAGUUCUACAUGUAUAGAUGUACAUGUAGAACUCCCCAACAAAUUAGCAAUAUCGAUAACUAGGUGUUUUGAAUUCUUCGUUAUUUACAUAUUCAUAUUUGAACUAUCAUAACAAAUGUAAUGCAUCAUGGUUUGUGUGGU
Nicotiana attenuata is the source of this 6444-nucleotide long non-coding RNA. RefSeq lists it as uncharacterized. The transcript has 4 exons. The record is from RefSeq and is a predicted model, not a curated record. Lineage: Eukaryota; Viridiplantae; Streptophyta; Magnoliopsida; Solanales; Solanaceae.